GACGGAGGGUGCAAACGUUGUUCGGAAUUACUGGGCGUAAAGGGCGCGUAGGCGGUUGGAUAAGUCAGCUGUGAAAACCACGGGCUUAACUCGUGGCCUGCAGUUGAGACUGUCUGGCUUGAGUGUGGGAGAGGAGAGUGGAAUUCCUGGUGUAGCGGUGAAAUGCGUAGAUAUCAGGAGGAACACCGGUGGCGAAGGCGGCUCUCUGGACCACAACUGACGCUGAGGCGCGAAAGCUAGGGGAGCAAACAGG
This 253-nucleotide ribosomal RNA is filed under the name uncultured bacterium. Its description in RNAcentral is "partial 16S ribosomal RNA". It matches the Rfam family "Bacterial small subunit ribosomal RNA", at positions 524 to 776 of the family's 1533-position model. The record is from RNAcentral.